AUGCCGACUUUGUGCUGUCAGACCAUUAGUGUUUGUGUUUUCUUAGUGUUUGUGAAUGUGUUGUGUUUGUCUCCUGCAGCUGGUCCCACAGUGAAGCCCUCAGUGUCUCUGCUGCCGCCCUCUUCUCUGCAGAUCUCUGGAGACUCAGCCGCACUGCUCUGCCUGCUCAGCUCUUACUCUCCACAGGGGGCGCAGGUGAGCUGGACACUGGACGGCUCAGAGGUCACCGAGGGGGUUCAGACCAGCACAGAGAGUGAGCAGGGCGGGCGCUACAGCCGUAGUAGCGUCCUGACCCUCAGCAAAGCACGCUGGGAAAAAGGAGAGCUGUACGUCUGCAGAGUAACACAUGAUGGAGCUCCUCAAGAGGUCUCGUUCCAGAAGAGUCAGUCGCAGUGCUGAUGUUUCUCCAGUGAGCGCUGCUCUCUCCUGAAGAUGAGGCGUAUCUGAGUGUCCUGUGUCAGGCAGGAUUCACAUGAGUCUCGUGCUGCAGCUGUAGUCAUUUACAACUCAAUACUGAAAGAGAGCUCUAGUGUCAAAGCACUGGCUGAUCUUUCAAUCUGCUGUGUUUGCUGUAACAUUCAAUAAAGCUUCUCAACAAGCUCCA
Molecule: non-coding RNA, 604 nt
Organism: Labeo rohita (rohu)
Lineage: Eukaryota; Metazoa; Chordata; Actinopteri; Cypriniformes; Cyprinidae
Source: the annotation of a RefSeq genome assembly